RNAcentral lists this ribosomal RNA (490 nucleotides) under uncultured bacterium. RNAcentral describes it as "partial 16S ribosomal RNA". It matches the Rfam family "Bacterial small subunit ribosomal RNA", at positions 30 to 507 of the family's 1533-position model. The record is from RNAcentral.
AUUGAACGCUGGCGGCAGGCCUAACACAUGCAAGUCGAACGGUAACAGGAAUAAGCUUGCUUCUUUGCUGACGAGUGGCGGACGGUUGAGUAAUGUCUGGGAAACUUCCUGAUGGAGGGGGAUAACUACUGGAAACGGUAGCUAAUACCGCAUAACGUCGCAAGACCAAAGAGGGGGACCUUCGGGCCUCUUGCCAUCUGAUGUGCCCAGAUGGGAUUAGCUAGUAGGUGGGGUAACGGCUCACCUAGGCGACGAUCCCUAGCUGGUCUGAGAGGAUGACCAGCAACACUGGAACUGAGACACGGUCCAGACUCCUAAGGGAGGCAGCAGUGGGGAAUAUUGCACAAUGGGCGCAAGCCUGAUGCAGCCAUGCCGCGUGUAUGAAGAAGGCCUUCGGGUUGUAAAGUACUUUCAGCGGGGAGGAGGGGAGUAAAGUUAAUACCUUUGCUCAUUGACGUUACCCGAAGAAGAAGCACCGGCUAACUCCGUG